RNA transcript from Capsicum annuum, 2391 nucleotides. It is a transcript of the gene named pentatricopeptide repeat-containing protein At2g35030, mitochondrial-like, with no coding region annotated. The record is from RefSeq and is a predicted model, not a curated record. NCBI's taxonomy places the organism in Eukaryota, Viridiplantae, Streptophyta, Magnoliopsida, Solanales, Solanaceae. The transcript is spliced from 3 exons.
AAGUUUAUAAAAUUACUGCUCUUAAAAUUUACUUUUUAAUUAUUUUUUUCUUACCGAGUGAGAUUCAAUAAGAAUAAAAUGGAAUAUGUUAGUAAAUAAUUGGCAAAUAAAAAAGGAUCCACAUUCUUCUUUGGGAAAAAGGAAAUAGUAAAUAAUUGGCAAAUAAAAAAGGAUCCACAUUCUUCUUUGGGAAAAAGGAAAUAGCCAUCCAUUUGGACGACACCAAACAUAACACAUUCCUCGCUAAUCGACAGGUUGACAUGUAUUCUAAAUGCAGCUCUCUAGAAUAUGCGCAACAGGCUUUUAAUGAAGUUUCGAACAAGAAUUGUCAAUCAUGGAAUACGAUAUUAUCCGCUUAUUAUCAAAGGGGCCUUUUUGGAGAAGCCUUCAAGGUGUUUGAUGAAAUGCCUGAACCAAAUGUUGUGAGUUCUAACUCGAUUGUAUCGAGUUUGACUCGUUGUGGGCUUCCAGGAAAAGCGAUGGGUUUUUUCAAAAGAACGGGAUGAGUUCUUGAUUGAUGAGUUUACGGUUGUUGGUGUGGUGAAUGCUUGCGCGUGUUUGGGGGUGUUGAGGUUGGUGUGAGGUUUAAUCUUGUUGUUUGUACGCGCUAAUUGAUGCUUAUGGGAAAUGUGGGAAACCCGAGUACUCAUAUCCAGUUUUGUGUCUAAUGCAUGAGACGGAUGUAUUUUCCUGGACUUCGAUGUUGGUUGCUUAUAUACGUGCAUCUAGAUUGGCGGAAGCGUGCUCGCUUUUUGAUAGCAUGCCGGUCAGAAAUGUUGUGGCUUGGACUGCUUUGAUCACAGGAUUUGCGCAGAAUGGAGAAGGAGAGAAGGCUUUGUGCGUCUUUAAGGAAAUGCUGGAAGAAGGUAUUGUACCAAAUGCAUCCACUUACGUUAGUGUUCUAGGUGCUUGUGCAGACAUACCACUUAUAGAAAAGGGGAAGCAGCUUCACGGACACAUUUUUGGAUAUACACAUUUAAUUGAUUUGCAUAAUGUCUUUGUAGUUAAUGUUUUAAUUGACAUGUAUUGUAAAUGUGGAGACAUGAUAUCUGCUAUGACAUUGUUUGAGAGGUUAGAUGGGAAGGAUCGAGUUACUUGGAACUUGAUAAUACUUGGGUUUGCUUAAAAUGGGCACGAAGAGAUGACAUUAUGCAUGUUUUACGAAAGGAUUGAAGCCGGUACAAAACCAAAUCAUGUAACUUUUCUUGGGGUUUUAUCUGCUUGUAGCCACUGUAGUUUAUUAUCUGAAGGAUUCCACUAUCUUCAUUUAAUGAGGAGGGAAUACAGUAUAGUUCCCCAAUUAGAUCACUAUGGGAUUUUAAUUGAUUUACUUGGAAGGAAGAAUGUGCUUCGAGAAGCUGCAGAAUUAAUCAAGGGAGCUCCUUGGGGGAACAAAAAAUAUUGGAAUGUGGGGUGCACUUUUGGGUGCUUGCAGGGUACAGGGGAACUUGGAACUUGCUAAAAGAGCAGCAGAAGCUCUAUUUGAGCUGGAACCUGAUAAUGCUGCCAGGUAUAUUAUGUUGUCCAACAUCUAUACAGCAGCAGGAAGGUGGAAUGAUGCCCGCAGACUGCGAAGGUACAUGGAUAACAGAGGAUUGAUGAAAGAAACAGCUUAUAGUUGGAUGGAAAUAAAAAAUAUCAGACAUAAGUUUGUCACUAAAGAUAAGUCUCACAGUCGGUCAGAAGAAAUGAAAGAGUUGCUACUUAAACUCAGAUCCAAUGAAGAAUGCUGGAUACGUACUUCAUAUUGAAAGCUAAUGAAUGAAUGUAGGUCCGCUCCUGGGUGAUCUUUCUGUGCCUUUAUUUAAUGCUUUUCAAUUUGGCGAGGAAAAUAUGUUUGUUCUUUCACAUGGACCUGUUAGCUAUCACAACCAUUCAUUUUCUUAUGUACCACUGGAUUUUGUUUAUUUAAAGAUCCCGUUUCCAGCAUCCAAAUGUUUCUCAAGGGCAAAAUGGUUACUAUAUCUGCAUAGUUUCAGUGAAGCGCAAACCCAGUCGGCUCAAAGUUCCCCACAGCAGUAUUAAGACGCUGGGAUAAGCUAACGGACAAAUAAAAAAUCAAGCGCAAGAAUAUUCAGAAGAUAUGGUGUGGCACAAGACAGCUCUGAGGUUCAGAGACACGAGUCCCAGACCAGCAGUAGCAGUCGCUCUCACAAUACAGAGUUGUAGUGAGUCCUCUUCGUUCGAGGAUGAUAUUAUUUGACUUAUUCAUUAUUUCUCAGUUUAGUUUUACGGAGUUAGUUGGAGACAUGUUCCUUCAACUCCUUAUUCAGACAGUUAGAGGCUUUCAGAUUUGCAUGUUCAGACUUCAGAUUAUUUCAGUAUGUUUUGGUAUUGUGAUACCACCUUUUCAGAUGUUAAAAAUUUUCAGAUGAGAACCUUAUGACCUUA